This 149-nucleotide unclassified non-coding RNA is filed under the name soil metagenome. Its description in RNAcentral is "partial internal transcribed spacer 1". The record is from RNAcentral.
UAAUAAAGUGUUUUAUGGCACUUUUCAAAAUCCAUAUCCACCUUGUGUGCAAUGUCUGUCUAUCUUCUUCAUGAGAUCCAAACAUCACCUUUAUUUUUUAAUGCGCUUUAUCUGAAGAUCAGUAUAUUAUGAAUAACUAAUUCAAAAUA